UUCUCAUUUCUAGUGCACCAAUCUGCAACACUGAGUGAGUGUCUGGCCCCAAACCCAAAGAAAAUGGGCUCUUAUCACGUAAUGAGAAUCUGUACUCUCUCACCAAGUGUUUUUGCUUUUCCUUUGCAGAGGAACUAGCCAAAGAGCGGGGGGAACAAGCUGCAGAGCUGGGUGAGUGUUCCUGAGCUUGGGCCCAAAGGCAAUGUCAAGGCAAUGUGCAGGGGAGGGUGGGCAGCUGGGACAGAGCAGCCCAGGGCUGGCCCCUCACCCUGAUGGAGAAGUGAGGAGUGUGGGGCUGCCCUGGGCAUGGGACACAGCCGGGAUGGCUGAAAGGAAUGGGGAUCAAGGUUAGGAUGGGGAGCGAGUUGCGGGGGUACCCCGCUCUACUCUGAUGCUUCCAGGACAGGGAUGUCCUCUGUAUGUCCCGAUUCACUUCCAGUUGUCUUUUGGUGGCAUCGUACUGAAAGCUACAAAAGUUUCUGUGCUGGUUGUUCUGCUUGCACAAGCCAUGCUCACAGAUGAACUUCACUCACUAUUAGUCUGGUCCCUCCUUUGGGAGCAAAGUUACAUUUGGCCACUUCCUAGAAGAAUAAAUUUGGGGGCGUAGACAUUGGAGCAGGCAUAGGACGAGAAGCUGUCCCCUCUGAUCAUGCAUUGCCUUUGCUUUCCUUUUGCAGCGGAACUGAAAGCAGAGCGGGGUGAGUGUCUCUCCCCAACAGAAAGAACUUCAUGUCUUCCAAUGGGAGCUAUGGCAGGAGAAGCUUUCCCCUCUGAUUAUGCAUUGCUUUUCUCUUUCUUUUGCAGAGGAAAAGAAUGCAAGGCUGGCACACCGAUCUGCAAGACUGCAGGAACUAGCCAAAGAGCGGGAGAAAAAAGAUGCAAAGCUCAGGGAACAAGCUGCAGAGCUGGCAUGGAGAAAGUUUCUGCUGCCUCACUAUACAGGUAGGUGUGUGUUAAGUUGCCCUCUGCAGUGCUUCUCCUGCCCUUGCUGGGGCAUGUUCAGGAGCCA
RNAcentral lists this long non-coding RNA (1009 nucleotides) under Anas platyrhynchos platyrhynchos (common mallard). RNAcentral's name for it is "lncRNA (ENSAPLG00000022268.1)". Lineage: Eukaryota; Metazoa; Chordata; Aves; Anseriformes; Anatidae. The record is from RNAcentral.